RNAcentral lists this ribosomal RNA (425 nucleotides) under uncultured bacterium. RNAcentral's name for it is "bacterial SSU rRNA". It matches the Rfam family "Bacterial small subunit ribosomal RNA", at positions 356 to 773 of the family's 1533-position model. The record is from RNAcentral.
GGGGAAUAUUGCACAAUGGGCGCAAGCCUGAUGCAGCCAUGCCGCGUGUAUGAAGAAGGCCUUCGGGUUGUAAAGUACUUUCAGCGAGGAGGAAGGCAUUAAGGUUAAUAACCUUAGUGAUUGACGUUACUCGCAGAAGAAGCACCGGCUAACUCCGUGCCAGCAGCCGCGGUAAUACGGAGUGUGCAAGCGUUAAUCGGAAUUACUGGGCGUAAAGCGCACGCAGGCGGUCUGUCAAGUAGGAUGUGAAAUCCCCGGGCUCAACCUGGGAACUGCAUUCGAAACUGGCAGGCUAGAGUCUUGUAGAGGGGGGUAGAAUUCCAGGUGUAGCGGUGAAAUGCGUAGAGAUCUGGAGGAAUACCGGUGGCGAAGGCGGCCCCCUGGACAAAGACUGACGCUCAGGGGCGAAAGCGUGGGGAGCAAAC